This 157-nucleotide ribosomal RNA is filed under the name Odontarrhena cyprica. Its description in RNAcentral is "5.8S ribosomal RNA". It matches the Rfam family "5.8S ribosomal RNA". From Rfam's summary of the family: 5.8S ribosomal RNA (5.8S rRNA) is a component of the large subunit of the eukaryotic ribosome. It is transcribed by RNA polymerase I as part of the 45S precursor that also contains 18S and 28S rRNA. The record is from RNAcentral. Lineage: Eukaryota; Viridiplantae; Streptophyta; Magnoliopsida; Brassicales; Brassicaceae.
AAAACGACUCUCGGCAACGGAUAUCUCGGCUCUCGCAUCGAUGAAGAACGUAACCGAAAUGCGAUACUUGGUGUGAAUUGCAGAAUCCCGUGAACCAUCGAGUCUUUGAACGCAAGUUGCGCCCCAAGCCUUCUGGCCGAGGGCACGUCUGCCUGGG